RNAcentral lists this ribosomal RNA (888 nucleotides) under Dirina massiliensis. RNAcentral's name for it is "LSU rRNA". It matches the Rfam family "Eukaryotic large subunit ribosomal RNA", at positions 40 to 943 of the family's 3401-position model. The record is from RNAcentral. Lineage: Eukaryota; Fungi; Ascomycota; Arthoniomycetes; Arthoniales; Roccellaceae.
AUAUCAAUAAGCGGAGGAAAGGAAACCAACAGGGAUUGCCCUAGUAACGGCGAGUGAAGCGGCAACAGCUCAAAUUUGAAAUCUGGCCCCUUCGGGGUCCGAGUUGUAAUUUGUAGAGGAUGCUUCGGCGUCGGCCCCGGGGUAAGUCCCCUGGAACGAGGCGCCCUAGAGGGUGAGAGCCCCGUACUCACUCGGGUGUCCUUCGCCAUGUGAAGCUCCUUCGACGAGUCGAGUUGUUUGGGAAUGCAGCUCUAAGCGGGAGGUAUAUUUCUUCUAAAGCUAAAUACCGGCCAGAGACCGAUAGCGCACAAGUAGAGUGAUCGAAAGAUGAAAAGCACUUUGGAAAGAGAGUUAAAAAGCACGUGAAAUUGUUGAAAGGGAAGCUCUUGCCGCCAGACUUGCCGCGGCUGCUCAGCCGCCCCCCGGGGCGGUGUACUCUUCCGUCGGCAGGCCAGCGUCGGUUCGGGCGGCCGGACAAAGGCCCUGGGAAUGUAGCAUCCUCCGGGGUGUGUUAUAGCCCGGGGUGCAAUGCGGUCAGCCCGGUCCGAGGCACGCGUUCGCGAGGACGCUGGCGUAAUGGCUGCAAGCGACCCGUCUUGAAACACGGACCAAGGAGUCUAACAUCUGUGCGAGUGUUUGGGUCUCAAACCCAUGCGCGUAAUGAAAGUGAACGGAGGUGGGAACCCCCCCCCGAGGGGCGCACCAUCGACCGAUCCUGAUGUCUUCGGAUGGAUUUGAGUAAGAGCAUAGCUGUUGGGACCCGAAAGAUGGUGAACUAUUCCCGGAUAGGGUGAAGCCAGAGGAAACUCUGGUGGAGGCUCGCAGCGGUUCUGACGUGCAAAUCGAUCGUCAAAUCUAGGAAUAGGGGCGAAAGACUAAUCGAACCAU